Molecule: non-coding RNA, 805 nt
Organism: Ciona intestinalis (vase tunicate)
Lineage: Eukaryota; Metazoa; Chordata; Ascidiacea; Phlebobranchia; Cionidae
Source: RefSeq, a predicted model, not a curated record
AAAUGCGAGCAAUAUGCACUGAGCUUAUAUUACAGUUUUAUUUCUGCGAAUAAUAUAUUUUGAUUCUAGAGAUGGCGAUGAAUUUCCUAUCAGCCGUUUUCUUCGUCGUUGUUGUCACCAACAAGUGAAGUAAGUCGUCGCUGUUAUGGGUUUGAUAACCUUGCCGGACCUUUGGCUAAACAUGGCCUACAGACAUCUUUAGCAGGCCAUGGGCUAAAGUUUGUUCGAUAAAUUCAACCAACAUCAGUUACUUUGAAGGACGUGGAAUCGUGAAAGGAAACUUGAUUUUCGUAACCCAUGCUUUUAAAGUGUGGUGUAAACCAGUCAUUUGAUGUUCUUUUUUUUGUUCAGUCAAUAAAUGCUUACAGCGGUUAUAGCCGAAUAGUGCAGUUGGUUGAAGCAUCGUGAUAAUAACGCGAAUGUCGCGGGAUCGAUUCCUGUAUUGCUGGUCAAGUUGGUACCUCGAAAGCUCAGUUGGGAUAGCGUUAGUUUUAAUUUUGAAGUAAAUUACCAACGUCCAUGGGUGGGCUCGAACCACCAAUCUUUCGGUUAACAGCCGCUUACUCAAAUGUAUUAAGCAAGCAAAGUUGAACCUAAAUCUCAGCUUUAUGGCGUCCGGAGACCAAUAUAAAGAAUAGUGACAUUUAUUCAUGCGUGUUGAUCAUAAAUAGAUAUAUAUUUUUAUUCGUUGCCAAAUAAUGUAUGUGGCUGAUGUAUCAACACACACUACAACAAUAUUGCAUACAAGACCAACAUAAAUAUCUUCACUUUGUAGUAGGACCUUAUUUGUGCUAAUAAAACGUAG